Molecule: transfer RNA, 96 nt
Filed under: Kitasatospora indigofera
Lineage: Bacteria; Bacillati; Actinomycetota; Actinomycetes; Kitasatosporales; Streptomycetaceae
Description: tRNA-Gly
Source: RNAcentral
GUCGGCCCGGACCGGACCGGCGGUCGGGGCCGGUACCGCCGGCCGUCCCGGUGGGCCGAACCGGGGACGGUCCGGCCCGGUUCCGGGAACCGGCCC